RNAcentral lists this ribosomal RNA (422 nucleotides) under uncultured bacterium. RNAcentral describes it as "bacterial SSU rRNA". It matches the Rfam family "Bacterial small subunit ribosomal RNA", at positions 355 to 774 of the family's 1533-position model. The record is from RNAcentral.
UAGGGAAUAUUGGACAAUGGGCGCAAGCCUGAUCCAGCCAUGCCGCGUGCAGGAAGAAGCAUCUAUGGUGUGUAAACUGUUUUUGUACGGGCAGAAACACUCCUUCGUGAAGGAGCUUGACUGUACCGUAAGAAUAAGGAUCGGCUAACUCCGUGCCAGCAGCCGCGGCAAUACGGAGGAUCCAAGCGUUAUCCGGAAUCAUUGGGUUUAAAGGGUCCGUAGGCGGUUUAGUAAGUCAGUGGUGAAAGCCCAUCGCUCAACGAUGGAACGGCCAUUGAUACUGCUAGACUUGAAGUAUUAGGAAGUAACUAGAAUAUGUAGUGUAGCGAUGAAAUGCUUAGAUAUUACAUGGAAUACCAAUUGCGAAGGCAGGUUACUACUUGUGGAUUGACGCUGAUGGACGAAAGCAUGGGGAGCGGACA